CCCACCGCCACCCAUCCUGGGUGAGUCAGGCUGGUCCACCUGGGGACAGUGCUGGGAGGUGAGGCCGGGGGCGAACGGCUCUGCAGGACGCCCAGGCUCCCCGGGCCCGGGAGGUGCAAGGCAGGGGACCUAGUGUGCAAUGGCUACCAGCAGUAGUCCCCUUAGGAACACAUGCAGUCUCUUGCCUGUAUGGGUUCUCUAAGGAACACUGAUGUUGGAUACGCGUGCCUGUGAUCUCACACUGUCCCCAGUUGAGGCUCCAGACAGAAGGAAGCAUGGAAUUGCUGCUAGAGGGACUGAUGGAAGACAUGCACAACACUACAGAUAAAUGAUGUCCAGGGUCUCUUGGUUUUCUGAAGAGAAUAUUUUCCUGCAAAGACAAGAACAGAACCCUGCUCCAACCCUUAUGAGGUUUCCUUACCACCUGGUUUGGUUUUUCCUCUGUGAAUGAGCCAUCAUUUCUCUUUCUCAAGAGAUUUCUCUUUAUCAAACUGAAUCUUUAUUAAUUUUGAUGGUAUC
Non-coding RNA from Myodes glareolus (Bank vole), 519 nucleotides. NCBI's taxonomy places the organism in Eukaryota, Metazoa, Chordata, Mammalia, Rodentia, Cricetidae. The record is from RefSeq and is a predicted model, not a curated record.